GCGGAUGUAGCUCAGUUGGUAGAGCGCCACCCUUCCAGGGUGUUGGUCGCGUGUUCGAUCCUCGCCAUCCGCU
RNAcentral lists this transfer RNA (73 nucleotides) under Kineosporia succinea. Its description in RNAcentral is "tRNA-Gly". It matches the Rfam family "tRNA". From Rfam's summary of the family: Transfer RNA (tRNA) molecules are approximately 80 nucleotides in length. Their secondary structure includes four short double-helical elements and three loops (D, anti-codon, and T loops). Further hydrogen bonds mediate the characteristic L-shaped molecular structure. tRNAs have two regions of fundamental functional importance: the anti-codon, which is responsible for specific mRNA codon recognition, and the 3' end, to which the tRNAs corresponding amino acid is attached (by aminoacyl-tRNA synthetases). tRNAs cope with the degeneracy of the genetic code in two manners: having more than one tRNA (with a specific anti-codon) for a particular amino acid; and 'wobble' base-pairing, i.e. permitting non-standard base-pairing at the 3rd anti-codon position. Lineage: Bacteria; Bacillati; Actinomycetota; Actinomycetes; Kineosporiales; Kineosporiaceae. The record is from RNAcentral.